UUUCUUAACUCACAGUGUUUCCCAGCCGCCUGGCUCCCAUCCGGCCCCAGCAGCGCUCUGGUGGGCACCAGGGCGCCGAUCCACGGCGAUGCCCAGGUCUGUGCUCCUUGGUGAGCCCAGGGAGGACACGUGGUUGGCAUCCCACAGCCAGUCCGUGAUGGGACGUGAUUGCAGGAGGCUGGUAUCUCUG
Phyllostomus discolor (pale spear-nosed bat) is the source of this 190-nucleotide non-coding RNA. RefSeq annotates it as small Cajal body-specific RNA 6. The record is from RefSeq and is a predicted model, not a curated record. The transcript has a single exon. Lineage: Eukaryota; Metazoa; Chordata; Mammalia; Chiroptera; Phyllostomidae.